UCCGGCUUACACCGGCGGUCUCCUGUGAGUGCCCGACUUUCUCGCUGGUAACACAGGACGUGGGUUGCGCUCGUUGGCGGACUUAACCGUACACCUCACGGCACGAGCUGACGACAGCCAUGCAACAAGUGUCUUCACGUCACCCUUUUGGAGUGAGGAGCCCAUUUCUGGACUUUGCGAUCGAUGUCAAGUCUGGGUAAGGUUCUUCGGUUAGUAUCGAAUUAAUCCACAUGCUCCACCGCUUGUGCGGGUCCCCGUCAAUUCAUUUGAGUUUCAACCUUGCGGCCGUACUCCCCAGGCGGGAUACUUAGUGCGUUAGCUGCGGCACAGGAGGGGUCGAUACCUCCUACGCCUAGUAUCCAUCGUUUAGGGCGUGGACUAC
RNAcentral lists this unclassified non-coding RNA (382 nucleotides) under uncultured Armatimonadota bacterium. RNAcentral's name for it is "uncultured Armatimonadetes bacterium contains 16S-23S intergenic spacer region". Lineage: Bacteria; Bacillati; Armatimonadota. The record is from RNAcentral.